CUGGAGACGGACGCCAUUUGUAACAUCUGUGGGAAUGGUAUUGAGGAUGAGUACCAUGCAGUGAUCAUGUGCACAAAGAGUAGGGGCCUAAGAGCAGCCAUGAGAGAAUCCUGGAAUCUACCGUCGGAAAAAAAAAUUCACACAGGUGAUGAUUGGCUACAAGUGCUCUUGGACUCUGUUAAUGAGGACAUGCGAGCAAGAAUCCUUUUGCUUAUCUGGCGCAGCUGGUUUCUCCGGGAAGAUUGUGUGCGCAAUGACGGUAGGGAAACAAUCGGACGGUCGGUUCACUACCUGACACAGUAUGAGGAGGAGCUGAGAAAUGCAGAAACUUCAGUUGAGUGGACGGGAGGGAAGAACACCUGUGUCAGGGAUUGA
Molecule: ribosomal RNA, 375 nt
Filed under: Triticum aestivum (bread wheat)
Lineage: Eukaryota; Viridiplantae; Streptophyta; Magnoliopsida; Poales; Poaceae
Description: partial small subunit ribosomal RNA
Source: RNAcentral